AGCCUGANGCAGCACGCCGCGUGAGGGANGAAGGCCUUCGGGUUGUAAACCUCUUUUAGCAGGGAAGAAGCGAAAGUGACGGUACCUGCAGAAAAAGCGCCGGCUAACUACGUGCCAGCAGCCGCGGUAAUACGUAGGGCGCAAGCGUUGUCCGGAAUUAUUGGGCGUAAAGAGCUCGUAGGCGGUUUGUCGCGUCUGCUGUGAAAAUCCGAGGCUCAACCUCGGACCUGCAGUGGGUACGGGCAAACUAGAGUGCGGUAGGGGAGAUUGGAAUUCCUGGUGUAGCGGUGGAAUGCGCAGAUAUCAGGAGGAACACCAAUGGCGAAGGCAGAUCUCUGGGCCGUAACUGACGCUGAGGAGCGAAAGCGUGGGGAGCGAACAGGAUUAGAUACCCUGGUAGUCCACGCCGUAAACGGUGGGAACUAGAUGUAGGGACCGUUCCACGGUUUCUGUGUCGCAGCUAACGCAUUAAGNUCCCCGCCUGGGGAGUACGGA
This 495-nucleotide ribosomal RNA is filed under the name uncultured Actinomycetes bacterium. Its description in RNAcentral is "bacterial SSU rRNA". It matches the Rfam family "Bacterial small subunit ribosomal RNA", at positions 380 to 886 of the family's 1533-position model. Lineage: Bacteria; Bacillati; Actinomycetota; Actinomycetes. The record is from RNAcentral.